GAGUGAUCUGUUUGAUUAAUUGCUUUUCAUAUUUACGAAUGUCGCAUACGUGAUUGCUGCAGACCUCGUCUCCUCUGGAGGCGACGCGUCUCUUCAACUCACUCGCACAUUCUCUUGAACGCAACGAGCGUGACCGCAACCUCUUGUUGUGUAUACCAAGUGUGGCGCUGGCUUGCCAGCUCGCACUACAAUGCACGUAUUUUGGUCACAUCUCUCGCGGCGCCUCGGCGGUUGCAGCAAUGUCCAAAUAAACUGAG
RNAcentral lists this ribosomal RNA (257 nucleotides) under Hastigerina pelagica. RNAcentral describes it as "partial 18S ribosomal RNA". Lineage: Eukaryota; Foraminifera; Rotaliida; Hantkeninidae. The record is from RNAcentral.